Non-coding RNA from Pristionchus pacificus, 61 nucleotides. The record is from Rfam. Lineage: Eukaryota; Metazoa; Nematoda; Chromadorea; Rhabditida; Neodiplogasteridae.
UCUUCAUUUCACAUACUCUCUCACCACUCAACCGGUCGAGAGAGUGUGCGAAAUGAAGAGA